RNAcentral lists this ribosomal RNA (505 nucleotides) under uncultured bacterium. RNAcentral's name for it is "partial 16S ribosomal RNA". It matches the Rfam family "Bacterial small subunit ribosomal RNA", at positions 30 to 523 of the family's 1533-position model. The record is from RNAcentral.
AUUGAACGCUGGCGGCAUGCCUUACACAUGCAAGUCGAACGGCAGCACGGGUGCUUGCACCUGGUGGCGAGUGGCGAACGGGUGAGUAAUACAUCGGAACGUACCUUAUCGUGGGGGAUAACAAAUUGAAAAAUUUGCUAAUACCGCAUAAUACUCUGAGGAGGAAAGCGGGGGAUUCGUAAGAACCUCGUGCGAUUAGAGCGGCCGAUGGCUGAUUAGCUAGUUGGUGAGGUAAAGGCCCACCAAGGCAACGAUCAGUAGCAGGUCUGAGAGGAUGAUCUGCCACACUGGAACUGAGAAACGGUCCAGACUCCUACGGGAGGCAGCAGUGGGGAAUUUUGGACAAUGGGCGCAAGCCUGAUCCAGCCAUUCCGCGUGCAGGACGAAGGCCUUCGGGUUGUAAACUGCUUUUGUACGGAACGAAAAGGUCCUGGUUAAUACCCGGGGCUCAUGACGGUACCGUAAGAAUAAGCACCGGCUAACUACGUGCCAGCCGCCGCAGUAA